UUUUCGCAAUCUGAAACCCUAGCUCCCAAAUCCAUCUAUUCUCACCUUUUCUAAUUUGUUACUUUGAUUCGCAAUGGCUCGUAUGAAGUAGACCGCUUGUAAGUCCACCGGUGGAAAGGCUCAAAGGAAGCAACUCGCUACCAAGGCUGCUAGGAAAUCUGCUCCAACAACCGGAGGAGUGAAGAAGCCUCAUCGUUAUCGUUCUAGAACUGUCGCACUACGGUGAAUUGGCCAAACAUGCUGUUUCCGAGGGUACUAAGGCUGUUACCAAGUUUACUAGCGCUUAGAGGAGAUUGGUUUGUUGGUUUGAGAUGCCUUGAAGUUGGACUGGAAGAAGACAACAAGUAGAGAAAUAUGCUAUGACCGGAAAAUUGAAGAAAGUUUGUUUAUACACGUAAAUGAAAGGGAGACUAGAAUUGUUGUCAGAUAAUCCGCCACAAAAUGUUCUUUAAUGUUGAAAUUAGGUGUAUGGUUUUUGUGUAGUUUGGAUUUUAUUGUGUUAUUUGAAUAAGUUGGUAUUUUAAUUUUAUUGGUUU
This 536-nucleotide long non-coding RNA is filed under the name Helianthus annuus (common sunflower). RNAcentral describes it as "hypothetical non coding rna". Lineage: Eukaryota; Viridiplantae; Streptophyta; Magnoliopsida; Asterales; Asteraceae. The record is from RNAcentral.